Molecule: long non-coding RNA, 658 nt
Organism: Mandrillus leucophaeus (drill)
Lineage: Eukaryota; Metazoa; Chordata; Mammalia; Primates; Cercopithecidae
Exons: 3
Source: RefSeq, a predicted model, not a curated record
GGUGAGCUGGGCGCAGGCGUGCUUCCCCUGCGCGCGGGAGAGUUGUGUGUUCGAGUCCCUGGGUCCCUUUCUGGGGGUUCUUGGUGCUGUGCUAUCUGCGUGUGAUUCUCUAGCGAGAGAUUGUGCGCGAGUGACCGAGUGGGCAAGGGGCUGUCACUGUGUGUGCGUGAUUGUUGUGACGGUGUGUGGUGGUCACUUCGACUCCGCGUGGGUCGCUGACUGUGUGACUGGUACCGUUUAGCGGUGGAUACACAAUUGUGUGCCGCUGUGGAAGAUUCCCUCAUCCAUUAAGUUCCCAUUUCCGUGAAACAGCAGUUUUACCAGGUUUGGAAGGAGCCUUAAAAGUUUGGAAGCGUAAGUUUAUCUGGCGGCUUUGGUGCCAUCACGUGUGAGAAGCCCAGGACUUUACACAUCCCCAGCCAGUGUGGUCCAAUAUGAUGGGGAGUCCGAGUGCCAGAUGCCGACCAGGACCUGUUAUUCUGGGUCUCAGAAUGAGGAAGCCCUCCCUGUCCGAGAUGGAACAGUUCGUCCUUGAGUCAGGCCCGGAGUCCUGAGUUACUGUCUUCUGAUUUGAUCCUGUUUCCCUCAGACCUGAGAUGGGGGUCUCACUGUAUUGCCCAGGCUGGUCUUGAAUUCCUGAGCUCAAGUGAUCAGCUUG